This 447-nucleotide ribosomal RNA is filed under the name uncultured bacterium. RNAcentral's name for it is "bacterial SSU rRNA". It matches the Rfam family "Bacterial small subunit ribosomal RNA", at positions 330 to 794 of the family's 1533-position model. The record is from RNAcentral.
UCCAGACUCCUACGGGAGGCAGCAGUGGGGGAUAUUGCACAAUGGGGGAAACCCUGAUGCAGCGACGCCGCGUGAGUGAAGAAGUAAUUCGUUACGUAAAGCUCUAUCAGCAGGGAAGAAAAUGACGGUACCUGACUAAGAAGCCCCGGCUAACUACGUGCCAGCAGCCGCGGUAAUACGUAGGGGGCAAGCGUUAUCCGGAAUUACUGGGCGUAAAGGGCGCAUAGGUGGGCGCUUAAGUCAGGUGUGAAAACUCCGGGCUCGACCUGGAGACUGCACUUGAAACUGGGUGUCUUGAGGGCAGGAGAGGAAAGUGGAAUCCCUAGUGUAGCGGUGAAAUGCGUAGAUAUUAGGAAGAACGCCAGUGGCGAAGGCGGCUUUCUGGACUGAAACUGACGCUGAGGCACGAAAGCGUGGGGAGCGAACAGGAUUAGAUACCCGAGUAAA